UUGUUAUGGUCGUCGUCGUCGUUGUUGUUGUUAUGGUCGUCGUCCUUGUCAUCGUCGUCGUCGUUGUUGUCGUCGUCGUCGUCGUUGUUGUUGUUGUUGUUGUUGUUGUUGUUGUUGUCGUUGUGGUUGUUGUUGUCGUUGUUGUUGCUGUCGUCGUCGUCGUCGUUGUUGUUGUUGUUGUUGUUGUUGUUGUUGUUGUUGUUGUCGUUGUGGUUGUUGUUGUCGUUGUUGUUGCUGUCGUCGUCGUCGUCUUUGUUGUUGUUGUUGUUGUGAUGUUUGUCGUCGUCGUCGUCGUCGUCUUCGUCUUCGUCUUCGUCGUCGUCGUCGUCGUCGUCGUCGUCGUCGU
RNAcentral lists this long non-coding RNA (346 nucleotides) under Hordeum vulgare. RNAcentral's name for it is "long non-coding RNA (HVUL_LNC012226)". The record is from RNAcentral. Lineage: Eukaryota; Viridiplantae; Streptophyta; Magnoliopsida; Poales; Poaceae.